GAGGGUAUAGCUUAGUGUUAGAGUGUAUGCUUGGCAUGCACGAGGUCCUGGGUUCAAUCCCCAGUACCUCCA
RNAcentral lists this transfer RNA (72 nucleotides) under Camelus bactrianus (Bactrian camel). It matches the Rfam family "tRNA". From Rfam's summary of the family: Transfer RNA (tRNA) molecules are approximately 80 nucleotides in length. Lineage: Eukaryota; Metazoa; Chordata; Mammalia; Artiodactyla; Camelidae. The record is from Rfam by way of RNAcentral. RNAcentral also lists the same sequence under 3 other names.